GAACGUUCGCCUCACGACGCCAGGGUCGGGGUUAGAUUCCCGCGGAUCUGUGUGCGUGGAGUUUGCAUGUUCUCCCCGUGCUGCGGGGGUUUCCUCCCCCAGUCCAAAGACAUGCAUGGUAGGCUGAUUGGCGUGUCUAAAGUGUCUGUAGUGUAUGAAUGUGUGUGUGUGAUUGUGUACCCUGUCCAGGGUGUACCCCGCCUUGUGCCCGAUGCUCCCUGGGAUAGGCUCCAGGUUCCCCUGUGACCCUGAAAAGGAGUAAGCGGUUGAAGAUGGGGGGAUGGAUAAAUAAGACACUGGACAACUAUGGACAGGCCAAUCCGAUCAAAAGAAUACCAGUUCAUUGAGGGAACCAUGAAUGCCACCAUGUACUGUGACAUACUGAAGCACAGCAGGGCAGUAUUCCAGCAUGAUAACAACCCCAAACACACCUCCAAGACAACCACUGCCUUGCUAAAGAAGCUGAGGGUGAAGGUGAUGGACUAGCCAAGCAUGUCUCCAGACCUAAACCCUAUUGAGCAUCUGUGGGGCAUCCUCAAAUGGAAGGUGGAGCAGCACAAGGUCGCUAACAUCCACCAGCUCCAUGAUGUCGUCAUGGAGGAGUGGAAGAGGACUCCAGUAGCAACCUGUGAAGCUCUGGUGAACUCCAUGCCCAAGAGGGUUAAGUCAGUGCUGGAAAAUAAUGGUGGCCACACAAAAUAUUGACACUUUGGGCAAAUUUGGACAUUUUCACUUAGGGGUGUACUCACUUUUGUUGCCAGCGGUUUAGAAAGUAAUGGCUGUGGGUUGAGUUAUUUUGAGGGG
Long non-coding RNA from Ictalurus furcatus (blue catfish), 804 nucleotides. RefSeq lists it as uncharacterized. The record is from RefSeq and is a predicted model, not a curated record. Lineage: Eukaryota; Metazoa; Chordata; Actinopteri; Siluriformes; Ictaluridae. The transcript is spliced from 3 exons.